CUGUAUUUUUGUUUAAAAAAUCUAGUUGUUCUCCUGAGCUUCUGUUAUCAACUGACUUGCCACUACUCAAGAUAUUUUCAUAACAGUAUCCAAAGUAUGAUUCUAUCAGUCCUCUGCUUUCAUUCUCUAGUGACUUUCAUUUUUUCUUAGCAUUUAAGCUCUCAGAAUCUUUUACAGAACUUGACCUGAUCUUGGCCCUUGUUUUCACUCUCACCACAUUUGUGCUUCUCUUCCUCUGUCUUCUUGUGUUUGAUUAACUCUGACCUUCCUGCUGUAAAUCAUUCCAAGAACAGGUCAAAGACCAAGCUUACUUCCCACUCUAGUGCAUUUGUACCUUCAGCUCCCACUGUCUGGGCCAUAGUAUCAUUGAUUUUGCAUAGAGGCUCACUUUCUUAAAUUUAUUUCCCCUUUUUCUUUUUUGGAGAUGUAACAACAUUUUUGUGUGUGUGGUACCGGGAAUCAAACAUGGGUCUUUGCACUUGUGAGGCAGUCGGCGGAACCACUGAGCUAAAUCCCUGGCCCUGGAGAUGUUACAACUUUUUAAUGAGAACUGAAGACCUUAUUUAUAAGUAGCUGUCCCGGCCCGCGGGAGAAUGAAGAUUGGAGAGAAUUCACACAUAUUUCUCUAUGAAAUUUACCAAACCAUUGAUCUAGUAGAUAUUCUUUGUUUUAAAAAUGGAGUUUCUUAAAGAGAGCUAUACUCCAAUGUUCACCAUAGCAUAAUUCACAGUUACUAAGAAAUGAAAACAACCAAAGUGUCCUUCAACAAAGAAUGGAUAAAGAAAGUGUGGUACAUAUACACAAUGAGAUAUAUUGAGCCAUAAGAAUGAAUGAAAUCUAUCAUUUGUGACAAUGCCAGUGAAACUGGAGGUUAUUAUGGAAAGAAGCCAGUAAUUGUUAACUCAGAACACCCAAGGAAAUCAUGGUUUUAAACAUUUAGAGGAAAUCACAAAAGCUUGAAGAGCUUUCCCCCAGGGCACCUUGGAAGAAUCCAUGCCUCUAAAAUAGGAAACAUUUAUCAAGCCUUUGAGUACAGAAGUGUUUCAGGCUACAAUGUCAGCAGAACUAGACUAAACCAACUUUCUGGCCUAAUAGCCACUGUGCUACUUCUGUCAACAUGACUUGCUUUUCUGUAAAAAUGUGUAUAUAUACAUAUAUAUGUAUGUGAAUCAGUAUUCAGAAAAUGAAUGGAAAAGAAGAGGA
Long non-coding RNA from Heterocephalus glaber (naked mole-rat), 1203 nucleotides. NCBI's taxonomy places the organism in Eukaryota, Metazoa, Chordata, Mammalia, Rodentia, Bathyergidae. The record is from Ensembl.